RNAcentral lists this ribosomal RNA (253 nucleotides) under uncultured bacterium. Its description in RNAcentral is "partial 16S ribosomal RNA". It matches the Rfam family "Bacterial small subunit ribosomal RNA", at positions 524 to 776 of the family's 1533-position model. The record is from RNAcentral.
UACAGAGGUCUCAAGCGUUGUUCGGAUUCAUUGGGCGUAAAGGGUGCGUAGGCGGCGCGGUAAGUCGGGGGUGAAAUCCUGGAGCUCAACUCCAGAACUGCCUUCGAUACUGGCGAUCUUGAGUCCGGAAGAGGUGAGUGGAACUCCUAGUGUAGAGGUGGAAUUCGUAGAUAUUAGGAAGAACACCCGUGGCGAAGGCGGCUCUCUGGGACGGUACUGACGCUGAGACGCGAAAGCGUGGGGAGCGAACAGG